AACGAACGCUGGCGGCAUGCCUAACACAUGCAAGUCGAACGAGACCUUCGGGUCUAGUGGCGCACGGGUGCGUAACGCGUGGGAACCUGCCCUUAGGUUCGGAAUAACUCCCCGAAAGGGGUGCUAAUACCGGAUAAUUUCUUCGGACCAAAGAUUUAUCGCCUUUGGAUGGGCCCGCGUUGGAUUAGCUAGUUGGUAGGGUAAAAGCCUACCAAGGCGACGAUCCAUAGAUGGUCUGAGAGGAUGAUCAGCCACACUGGGACUGAGACACGGCCCAGACUGCUACGGGAGGCAGCAGUGGGGAAUAUUGGACAAUGGGCGAAAGCCUGAUCCAGCAAUGCCGCGUGAGUGAUGAAGGCCUUAGGGUUGUAAAGCUCUUUUACCCGGGAUGAUAAUGACAGUACCGGGAGAAUAAGCUCCGGCUAACUCCGUG
Molecule: ribosomal RNA, 433 nt
Filed under: uncultured bacterium
Lineage: Bacteria
Description: partial 16S ribosomal RNA
Rfam family: Bacterial small subunit ribosomal RNA
Source: RNAcentral